This is a long non-coding RNA of Talpa occidentalis (Iberian mole), 638 nucleotides long. RefSeq lists it as uncharacterized. NCBI's taxonomy places the organism in Eukaryota, Metazoa, Chordata, Mammalia, Eulipotyphla, Talpidae. The record is from RefSeq and is a predicted model, not a curated record. The transcript has 3 exons.
GAGACAUCAGUGGCACCCAAGCAAACCUGGGAAAGCAGUGGAGACUUCCACUCCCCGGGAGAUCCUGAGGACCAACUCUCCUUACCAGUCUCCUGAUUGUUCACCUUCCUUCAGCUUUGGCGGCUGGCGUCCCCAGAGUCAGCAUCAGGGUUACUGGAGACAGGCUGUCUGCCAUCGGAGGACAACCUUUUCUCACGUGUGUCAUGGGCCAGACUUCUGACUUAUGGAAGGUGCUGCGGGCACUACUGUUCCGAGGAAAGGAGAAAGCCCAUGUUUUGAAGUGGUUUGUGACCAGCACUGAUGAUGAUUCUGUAGUUUUGGACACCACUGGAGUGGUCAGCAAAGAACUCUUCCCAUUUGGAUUUACCGAUGCCUCUUCCUGACCAAGUACAUCCCAAGGUUACGUUCACUCAGAAGACUCAUCCACUAUUCAUCAGUGAGGAUUUACUCACAUGGUCACCCAGGGAGUGAGAGAGCCUUGCUCUCAACGUUUCCACUAUGGUGGAGCUAGAAUGGGGAAUGUAGCCAGAGCAUGCUGGCUUUUAAAACUGCUAUCAGGAAUUGGUAGUGAUAUUAAUUCCCUACAUUUCACUGGUAAAGCAAGUCACAUAUUUGUUAUCCUUUCCUGUGACCAAAUA